GACGAACGCUGGCGGCGUGCUUAACACAUGCAAGUCGAACGGUGAACCUCUUCGGAGGGGAUCAGUGGCGAACGGGCGCGUAACACGUGGGCAACCUGCCCCCGGCUCUGGGAUAACUCCAAGAAAUUGGGGCUAAUACCGGAUGUUCACCGCUUCCCGCAUGGGUGGUGGUGGAAAGGGUUUCCGGCUGGGGAUGGGCCCGCGGCCUAUCAGCUUGUUUGUGGGGUAGUGGCCUACCAAGGCGACGACGGGUAGCCGGCAUGAGAGGGUGACCGGCCACACUGGGACUGAGACACGGCCCAGACUCCAACGGGAGGCAGCAGUGGGGAAGAUUGCGCAAUGGGCGGAAGCCUGACGCAGCGAGGCCGCGUGGGGGAUGACGGCCUUCGGGUUGUAAACCUCUUUCAGCAGGGACGAAGCGAAAGUGACGGUACCUGCAGAAGAAGCACCGGCCAACUACGUG
RNAcentral lists this ribosomal RNA (463 nucleotides) under uncultured bacterium. RNAcentral describes it as "partial 16S ribosomal RNA". It matches the Rfam family "Bacterial small subunit ribosomal RNA", at positions 28 to 507 of the family's 1533-position model. The record is from RNAcentral.